Molecule: ribosomal RNA, 273 nt
Filed under: uncultured bacterium
Lineage: Bacteria
Description: partial 16S ribosomal RNA
Rfam family: Bacterial small subunit ribosomal RNA
Source: RNAcentral
ACUCCUACGGGAGGCAGCAGUGGGAAGUAUUGCAUCAAUGGGGAAACCGGACUGNAGCCAUGCCGCGUGUGUGAAGAAGGCCUUCGGGUUGUAAAGCACUUUCAGUAGGGAGGAAGGUAGUGUAGUUAACACCUGCAUUAUUUGACGUUACCUACAGAAGAAGCACCGGCUAACUCCGUGCCAGCAGCCGCGGUAAUACGGAGGGUGCGAGCGUUAAUCGGAAUUACUGGGCGUAAAGCGCAUGCAGGCGGCCUGUUAAGUCAGAUGUGAAAG